RNAcentral lists this ribosomal RNA (482 nucleotides) under uncultured bacterium. Its description in RNAcentral is "partial 16S ribosomal RNA". It matches the Rfam family "Bacterial small subunit ribosomal RNA", at positions 28 to 507 of the family's 1533-position model. The record is from RNAcentral.
GACGAACGCUGGCGGCGUGCUUAACACAUGCAAGUCGAACGCUGAAGCUCAGCUUGCUGGGUGGAUGAGUGGCGAACGGGUGAGUAACACGUGAGUAACCUGCCCUCUUCUUUGGGAUAACGCCCGGAAACGGGUGCUAAUACUGGAUAUUCACUGAUUCUCGCAUGGGGGUUGGUGGAAAGGUUUUUUCUGGUGGGGGAUGGGCUCGCGGCCUAUCAGCUUGUUGGUGGGGUGAUGGCCUACCAAGGCUUUGACGGGUAGCCGGCCUGAGAGGGUGACCGGUCACAUUGGGACUGAGAUACGGCCCAGACUCCUACGGGAGGCAGCAGUGGGGCAUAUUGCACAAUGGGCGAAAGCCUGAUGCAGCGACGCCGCGUGAGGGAUGGAGGCCUUCGGGUUGUAAACCUCUUUCGCUCAUGGUCAAGCCGCAGCUUUGGGUUGUGGUGAGGGUAGUGGGUAAAGAAGCGCCGGCUAACUACGUG